CUAAAAUUGUAUAUAUUGAAUCUUUCGCUACAAAUUUGCAUCUACUGCAUGCAGGAUCGCCGAGAGAGAGGCAGAGCGGAACUUUAUCUCGGGCGGGGCUCGCAGAACAAGGAACCCUUAAAAUUUAUUGAUGCAAGAUUGAUGAACUCAGAAUAUAAAUCCCAGGACCCAUAUGAAUAAUACAUCUAAAAAUCUCAAAAAUGUAAGAAAAUUGUCGGCAAAAUAUAAACGAUUUAUGUCCGCAAAUGUUUUCCGGCACCAAAUGAACCUCGAAAUGAACCAUUUGUCCGGUGCCAUAUGUAGUGAAAAAUUCUUGAUCAAGAUUAUACGUAUAGUGUAAUUUACAGCAUGAGCUCCACAUUUGAAUUUACUAGCUAUAUGAGUAAAUUGUUAAACGCGUCCGAAUUUAUCAACAUGAUAAAUGCCAAAUUCGCUGCACCUAACCCUUAACCUUAAUUUUGUGUUACACAGCUUCGAUCAAGUUGUAUAUACACAUUAUCAGUAACCUUGCUCGCUCAUUCAAGUGCUACAGUAUGUAUAUCUAUAAUGAAAAAAAUUAAUCAAACAAUCAAAAAAAUAAAAAAAUCAAAAAAUCAAAAAAUCAAAAAUCAAAAAAUCAAAAAAUUAAAAAUCAAAAAAUCAAAAAAUCAAAAAAUCAAAAAAUCAAAAAUCAAAAAAUAAAAAAAUAAAAAAAUACAAAAAUCAAAAAAUAAAAAAAUAAAAAAAUCAAAAAAUCAAAAAAUCAAAAAAUACAAAAAUCAAAAAAUACAAAAACUGUUUAUGUGCUGUCGCGUCUGGGCCACCGUACGUAAUGCAUAAGAUCAAUUUAUAUAUUGCGUAGAUUUUCAAAGAUUUACUCAAUAUUCCCGUCUGAAAUGCUUAUACAUCUGAAAACAACACUGUCACUCCUUCCUAGCAUAUCGUCACGCCAUCGUGAUUUACGGCUUGAUAGCGCAUGCGCAUUUGCGCUACUAAAGAAAAAAUCGGGUGUUCCGGGGUAAAGAUCCUUUACACAACAUGAGAAGCGAAUGUUCUAAAAUUUACAAAAAAUUACAAUAACGAAAGCGAUUCCUCGAAAUUUUUGUGAACUUGGCAAAAGGAUAACAUAAUAUGUAAAUAAGUUAACUGAAAUUGCCUAAACAACCUUCAAAGUUCUGACUAAGUACAAUAAAUCACUGAGAACAUAAAUCGUAUACACCCCCCGGAAAGUUUACUCUAUGAACUAGAAGUUACUAACGCAAGGAAAUGCUGCCUCACGGCCAAAACUUUGAGUUAGGUUGUUCAAACUCUGUUUAUAAUCCGUGGAUCAUACAAAGCUAAAUAACACUAUAAUGGAAACAUAACACUACAAUUAUAGUUUUUAAACAAUAAAAAUCGUAUUUUAUUGUAUUGUAAGAAUCGCGUGCAUAUAUGUUACAACAAUAUUCUAAUUAUCUAAAAUUAAGAAAACAGUUCUCUGUAAUGAAACAGGUCAUUUUCUGAGCACUCCAAACGAUAGUAUCUCAUAAAAAUGAACAAAUUAUGGGUCAUUCCACGGCUUAUUUCUCCGACAAUAUAUCUAUAAUGUGACCCGCAGGGCUACCUCCACACAUUUAGCUAUUAUGCGAUUGUCACUAAGGUUAAUGUCACUAAUAUUCUUAGACACAAAGUCAAGCGUGGUCACCUCUAGAGUA
This 1673-nucleotide long non-coding RNA is filed under the name Paramuricea clavata. The record is from RNAcentral. Lineage: Eukaryota; Metazoa; Cnidaria; Anthozoa; Malacalcyonacea; Plexauridae.